GAUUCGUCACACUAUCAUUAACUGAAUCCAUAGGUUAAUGAGGCGAACCGGGGGAACUGAAACAUCUAAGUACCCCGAGGAAAAGAAAUCAACCGAGAUUCCCCCAGUAGCGGCGAGCGAACGGGGAGGAGCCCAGAGCCUGAAUCAGCAUGUGUGUUAGUGGAAGCGUCUGGAAAGGCGCGCGAUACAGGGUGACAGCCCCGUACACAAAAGCGCAUGUGCUGUGAGCUCGAUGAGUAGGGCGGGACACGUGGUAUCCUGUCUGAAUAUGGGGGGACCAUCCUCCAAGGCUAAAUACUCCUGACUGACCGAUAGUGAACCAGUACCGUGAGGGAAAGGCGAAAAGAACCCCGGCGAGGGGAGUGAAAAAGAACCUGAAACCGUGUACGUACAAGCAGUGGGAGCACCCUUCGGGGUGUGACUGCGUACCUUUUGUAUAAUGGGUCAGCGACUUAUAUUCUGUAGCAAGGUUAACCGUAUAGGGGAGCCGGAGGGAAACCGAGUCUUAAUUGGGCGUUAAGUUGCAGGGUAUAGACCCGAAACCCGGUGAUCUAGCCAUGGGCAGGUUGAAGGUUGGGUAACACUAACUGGAGGACCGAACCGACUAAUGUUGAAAAAUUAGCGGAUGACCUGUGGCUGGGGGUGAAAGGCCAAUCAAACCGGGAGAUAGCUGGUUCUCCCCGAAAGCUAUUUAGGUAGCGCCUCGUGAAUUCAUCUCCGGGGGUAGAGCACUGUUUCGGCUAGGGGGCCAUCCCGGCUUACCAACCCGAUGCAAACUGCGAAUACCGGAGAAUGUUAUCACGGGAGACACACGGCGGGUGCUAACGUCCGUCGUGAAGAGGGAAACAACCCAGACCGCCAGCUAAGGUCCCAAAGUCAUGGUUAAGUGGGAAACGAUGUGGGAAGGCCCAGACAGCCAGGAUGUUGGCUUAGAAGCAGCCAUCAUUUAAAGAAAGCGUAAUAGCUCACUGGUCGAGUCGGCCUGCGCGGAAGAUGUAACGGGGCUAAACCAUGCACCGAAGCUGCGGCAGCGAACGUAUCACCCAAGACAACUUUACGGAGUUGACGAUUGACGGAGCGAAGCGACGUCAAAGCGUUCAUUAAAGUCGAGUUGGCUUAGGGAUACGUUCGUUGGGUAGGGGAGCGUUCUGUAAGCCUGUGAAGGUGUGUCGUGAGGCAUGCUGGAGGUAUCAGAAGUGCGAAUGCUGACAUAAGUAACGAUAAAGCGGGUGAAAAGCCCGCUCGCCGGAAGACCAAGGGUUCCUGUCCAACGUUAAUCGGGGCAGGGUGAGUCGACCCCUAAGGCGAGGCCGAAAGGCGUAGUCGAUGGGAAACGGGUUAAUAUUCCCGUACUUGGUGUUACUGCGAAGGGGGGACGGAGAAGGCUAUGUUGGCCGGGCGACGGUUGUCCCGGUUUAAGCGUGUAGGUGUGUGUUCCAGGUAAAUCCGGUUCACUUUAACACUGAGGCGUGACGACGAGGCACUACGGUGCUGAAGCAACAAAUGCCCUGCUUCCAGGAAAAGCCUCUAAGCAUCAGGUAACACGAAAUCGUACCCCAAACCGACACAGG
This 1571-nucleotide ribosomal RNA is filed under the name Salmonella enterica subsp. enterica serovar Typhimurium. RNAcentral's name for it is "partial 23S ribosomal RNA". It matches the Rfam family "Bacterial large subunit ribosomal RNA", at positions 137 to 1663 of the family's 2925-position model. Lineage: Bacteria; Pseudomonadati; Pseudomonadota; Gammaproteobacteria; Enterobacterales; Enterobacteriaceae. The record is from RNAcentral.